UACGUAGGGUGCGAGCGUUGUCCGGAAUUAUUGGGCGUAAAGAGCUCGUAGGCGGUGUGUCACGUCGGCCGUGAAAACCUGCAGCUUAACUGUGGGCGUGCGGUCGAUACGGGCAUCACUGGAGUUCGGCAGGGGAGACUGGAAUUCCUGGUGUAGCGGUGAAAUGCGCAGAUAUCAGGAGGAACACCGGUGGCUAAGGCGGGUCUCUGGGCCGAUACUGACGCUGAGGAGCGAAAGCGUGGGGAGCAAACAGG
This 254-nucleotide ribosomal RNA is filed under the name uncultured bacterium. Its description in RNAcentral is "partial 16S ribosomal RNA". It matches the Rfam family "Bacterial small subunit ribosomal RNA", at positions 524 to 776 of the family's 1533-position model. The record is from RNAcentral.